UCGGUUUUUAAUCAAUCUCCCGGACGAAGAACUCGAAAGUUUCGAUCGCCUCUUUUUUCAGCUGCAAGAAGCUUCUUGGUUUUAUACUGAUUUCUACAGCGACAAAAUGGCACAUCUCCCCAAACUGAAAUUUGGCAAU
RNAcentral lists this non-coding RNA (139 nucleotides) under Ctenophora environmental sample. Lineage: Eukaryota; Metazoa; Ctenophora. The record is from RNAcentral.